CCUGCCAUUAGAAGCAUUGUGGGCAUGGCUGCUGUGUCACACGUGCGUCAGUAGGGGGCAGAGGGGAGAGGCUGUGUGUACACUCAAUGUUCCCACCUAUGGACGACAUCGGAAUCGGUCGCCUAACGUU
RNAcentral lists this small nucleolar RNA (130 nucleotides) under Meriones unguiculatus (Mongolian gerbil). Its description in RNAcentral is "Small nucleolar RNA SNORA17 (ENSMUGG00000008195.1)". It matches the Rfam family "Small nucleolar RNA SNORA17". Rfam says of the family: snoRNA ACA 17 belongs to the H/ACA family of snoRNAs and is predicted to guide pseudouridylation of the 28S rRNA at positions U4659 and U4598. It shares the same host gene together with ACA43. NB This family has a high threshold value to exclude a large number of closely related sequences that do not appear to have conserved H and ACA boxes, and may be pseudogenes. The record is from RNAcentral. Lineage: Eukaryota; Metazoa; Chordata; Mammalia; Rodentia; Muridae.